AUGCCAUCCUCUGAACAUCAAUGGUGUCACUCCUUAGUGGCUGUUGCACUACCAGAUAUCCUGUGCAGACUGACAAUGUUUGGUGAAAAAGAGGCAUAUUCUCUCACACUGAAUUUGUGAGGAAAACCUUUCCCAGAAGUCAUGUGGCAGCCAUCUCCUCGGAUCCCACUGGCAUGACCAAAUGGCAUGCCGUUCCUAAACCAGCCAUUUCCAAGAGAAUGAGACCACCGGGACUGCCUCAGCCAACUGAAGGGACCCUGUAGAGGGCAGAACCUGAGGACCCAGGCAGAGCCCUGCCCUAAAGGAGGAAGCAGGUGGGGUCGGAAGACAGCGGGGAAAAGGCCUUCAAGACCUAAUCUACAGGAAGUGUUAGAAGAUGCACAAAUCUUAUGGCCAGGGAGUUCCAUAAACACUUCUUGAGGCAACGUGGAGAAGUGGAGAAAACAGGAGCUUUGAUUCAGACAUACCUGGGUCCCGGUGCCGACUCUGCGACUGACUGUGAGCCUGGACAAGUUAUUUGACCUCUCUGAGCUAAGCUAGAGAACCAGAGACAAUAGCACUAAGUGUUCUAAGAAACAAAAUUAUAGGAACUGCUGGGUGAGGGCCUAGCAAAUAGAGGGCGGCCCCGCUACACCUUCCACUGCGGCAGAAACCGCCUCCUCCACCCCACCCCACCCCCAGCGACAUGUUGUUGCAAAGGCCCUCUCUCCUCUGCAACUUGCCUGUCCUGUACUCAGCCCUCCUGGGCUAGUCUCCGAGGCUAUCACACCCUAUCACACCGAUAGCCUGCUCAGGUUGUAAAUCAACUUUGGGAAUAGACCUCGCUCACCUCCUUCCAGGGGAUGGCUGCCCCUAACAGUGGCCUGCAGGGGACAAAGUGCUGAGGGUUUGGGCCAAAUACAGGAGUGAUUCUUGAAGGCAGAA
This is a long non-coding RNA of Suricata suricatta (meerkat), 924 nucleotides long. RefSeq lists it as uncharacterized. The record is from RefSeq and is a predicted model, not a curated record. The transcript has 2 exons. NCBI's taxonomy places the organism in Eukaryota, Metazoa, Chordata, Mammalia, Carnivora, Herpestidae.